This is a long non-coding RNA of Micropterus salmoides (largemouth bass), 289 nucleotides long. RefSeq lists it as uncharacterized. Lineage: Eukaryota; Metazoa; Chordata; Actinopteri; Centrarchiformes; Centrarchidae. The transcript has 2 exons. The record is from RefSeq and is a predicted model, not a curated record.
CCUCGCUUGACAAAAUGAGAACACUUUAACAGACUGGACCCUCCAGACUUCGGAGACGUAGAGAGAUCACCUUCAGAUUCUGAUUAACAACCAUUAACAAGCAAAGCAUCACAUAAUGAAGACAGCAGACAGAAACAAGACGACGGCAGCAGGUGAGUGAGAAACGCCGGGAAAUAACAAGAAGACGACAGACAUCUGAUGCUUUACCAGAGAAGAAGAAGAAGAGAGACCAUUAUCAAUAACACAGAGACAUAAUAGAUCCAGGAUGAUUUCUGAAAAUCUAUAUAUU